AUUGAACGCUGGCGGCAGGCCUAACACAUGCAAGUCGAGCGGUAGCACAGAGAGCUUGCUCUCGGGUGACGAGCGGCGGACGGGUGAGUAAUGUCUGGGAAACUGCCUGAUGGAGGGGGAUAACUACUGGAAACGGUAGCUAAUACCGCAUAACGUCGCAAGACCAAAGUGGGGGACCUUCGGGCCUCAUGCCAUCAGAUGUGCCCAGAUGGGAUUAGCUAGUAGGUGGGGUAACGGCUCACCUAGGCGACGAUCCCUAGCUGGUCUGAGAGGAUGACCAGCCACACUGGAACUGAGACACGGUCCAGACUCCUACGGGAGGCAGCAGUGGGGAAUAUUGCACAAUGGGCGCAAGCCUGAUGCAGCCAUGCCGCGUGUGUGAAGAAGGCCUUCGGGUUGUAAAGCACUUUCAGCGGGGAGGAAGGCGGUGAGGUUAAUAACCUCAUCGAUUGACGUUACCCGCAGAAGAAGCACCGGCUAACUCCGUGCCAGCAGCCGCGGUAAUACGGAGGGUGCAAGCGUUAAUCGGAAUUACUGGGCGUAAAGCGCACGCAGGCGGUCUGUCAAGUCGGAUGUGAAAUCCCCGGGCUCAACCUGGGAACUGCAUUCGAAACUGGCAGGCUAGAGUCUUGUAGAGGGGGGUAGAAUUCCAGGUGUAGCGGUGAAAUGCGUAGAGAUCUGGAGGAAUACCGGUGGCGAAGGCGGCCCCCUGGACAAAGACUGACGCUCAGGUGCGAAAGCGUGGGGAGCAAACAGGAUUAGAUACCCUGGUAGUCCACGCCGUAAACGAUGUCGAUUUGGAGGUUGUGCCCUUGAGGCGUGGCUUCCGGAGCUAACGCGUUAAAUCGACCGCCUGGGGAGUACGGCCGCAAGGUUAAAACUCAAAUGAAUUGACGGGGGCCCGCACAAGCGGUGGAGCAUGUGGUUUAAUUCGAUGCAACGCGAAGAACCUUACCUGGUCUUGACAUCCACAGAACUUUCCAGAGAUGGAUUGGUGCCUUCGGGAACUGUGAGACAGGUGCUGCAUGGCUGUCGUCAGCUCGUGUUGUGAAAUGUUGGGUUAAGUCCCGCAACGAGCGCAACCCUUAUCCUUUGUUGCCAGCGGUUAGGCCGGGAACUCAAAGGAGACUGCCAGUGAUAAACUGGAGGAAGGUGGGGAUGACGUCAAGUCAUCAUGGCCCUUACGACCAGGGCUACACACGUGCUACAAUGGCAUAUACAAAGAGAAGCGACCUCGCGAGAGCAAGCGGACCUCAUAAAGUAUGUCGUAGUCCGGAUUGGAGUCUGCAACUCGACUCCAUGAAGUCGGAAUCGCUAGUAAUCGUAGAUCAGAAUGCUACGGUGAAUACGUUCCCGGGCCUUGUACACACCGCCCGUCACACCAUGGGAGUGGGUUGCAAAAGAAGUAGGUAGCUUAACCUUCGGGAGGGCGCUUACCACUUUGUGAUUCAUGACUGGGGUGA
This 1463-nucleotide ribosomal RNA is filed under the name uncultured Klebsiella sp. RNAcentral describes it as "bacterial SSU rRNA". It matches the Rfam family "Bacterial small subunit ribosomal RNA". The record is from RNAcentral. Lineage: Bacteria; Pseudomonadati; Pseudomonadota; Gammaproteobacteria; Enterobacterales; Enterobacteriaceae.